This 305-nucleotide ribosomal RNA is filed under the name uncultured bacterium. Its description in RNAcentral is "partial 16S ribosomal RNA". It matches the Rfam family "Bacterial small subunit ribosomal RNA", at positions 508 to 810 of the family's 1533-position model. The record is from RNAcentral.
ACAGCAGCCGCGGUAAAACGAGGGGGGCAAGCGUUGUUCGGAAUUAUUGGGCGUAAAGGGUGCGUAGGCGGUUUGGCAAGUUUGGUGUGAAAUCUUCGGGCUCAACUCGAAGUCUGCAUCGAAAACUGCCGGGCUUGAGUAUGGGAGAGGUGAGUGGAAUUUCCGGUGUAGCGGUGAAAUGCGUAGAUAUCGGAAGGAACACCUGUGGCGAAAGCGGCUCACUGGACCAUAACUGACGCUGAUGCACGAAAGCUAGGGGAGCAAACAGGAUUAGAGACCCCCGUAGUCCCUGUCUCUUAUACACA